RNAcentral lists this ribosomal RNA (1474 nucleotides) under uncultured Bordetella sp. RNAcentral describes it as "partial 16S-23S ribosomal RNA intergenic spacer". It matches the Rfam family "Bacterial small subunit ribosomal RNA". The record is from RNAcentral. Lineage: Bacteria; Pseudomonadati; Pseudomonadota; Betaproteobacteria; Burkholderiales; Alcaligenaceae.
AGUUCGGUAUAGCUCAGAUUGAACGCUGGCUGGGGAUGUGCUUUACAUGCAAGUCGAACGGCAGCACGGACUUCGGUCUGGUGGCGAGUGGCGAACGGGUGAGUAAUGUAUCGGAACGUGCCUAGUAGCGGGGGAUAACUACGCGAAAGCGUAGCUAAUGCCGCAUACGCCCUUCGGAAAAGCGGGGGACCUUCGGGCCUCGCACUAUUAGGCGGCCGAUAUCGGAUUGGCUAGUUGGUAGGGUAACGGCUCACCAAGGCGACGAUCCGUAAGCUGGUUUGAAGAGGACGACCAGCCACACUGGGACUGAGACACGGCCAGACUCCUACAGGAGGCAGCAGUGGGGAAUUUUUGGACAAUGGAAGCCACAGUCCAGCCAUCCCGCGUGUGCGAUGAAGGCCUUCGGGUUGUAAAGCUACUUUUGGCAGGAAAGAAACGGCGCAGGAUAAUACCCCGUGCAACUGACGGCUCCUGCAGAAUGGCACCGGCCCCAACUACGUGCCAGCAGCCGCGGUAUACGUAGGGUGCAAGCGUUAAUCAAAAGAUUACUGGGCGUAAGCGUGCCUGAGCGGUUCCGGAAAAAGCCGUCUUAGAAAUCCCAGAGCAACUUUGGGAACUGCCAUUUCGCUACCAGGCUGGAAGUGUCGGGAGGUGGAAUUCGCCAUCCUCAUGCAGUGAAAUGCGUAGAUAUGCGGAGGAACACCGAUGGUAAGGCAGCCUCCUGGGAUAACACUGACGCUCAUGCACGAAAGCGUGGGGAGCAAACAGGAUUAGAUACCUGGUAGUCCACGCCUAAACGAUGUCAACUAGCUGUUGGGGCCUUCGGGCCUUGGUAGCACCAACUAACGCGUGAAGUUGACCGCCUGGGGAGUACGGUCGCAAGAUUAAAACUCAAAGGAAUUGACGGGGACCCGCACAAGCGGUGGAUGAUGUGGAUUAAUUUCGAUGCAACGCGAAAAACCUUACCUACCCUUGACAUGUCUGGAAUCCCGAAGAGAUUUGGGAGUGCUCGCAAGAGAACCGGAACACAGUGCUGCAUGGCCCGGCGUCAGCUCGUGUCGUGAGAUGUUAAGGUUAAGUCCGCAACAGAAGCUGACAGCGGCAUCAUUAGUUGCUACGAAGGGCUCUGUGAGACUGCCAGUGACAAACCGAGGAAGGUGAGAUGACGUCGGUCUCAUGGCCUUAUGGUGGGAGCUUCACGUCAUGCAAUGGUCGGGACAGAGGUCGCCAACCCGCGAGGGGAGCCAAUCCCAGAAACCCGAUCGUAGUCCGGAUCGCAGUCUGCAACUCGACUGCGUGAAGUCGGAAUCGCUAGUAAUCGCGGAUCAGCAUGUCGCGGUGAAUACGUUCCCGGGUCUUGUACACACUGCCGUCACACCAUGGGAGUGGGUUUUACCCAGUAGUUAGCCUAACCGUGGAGGGCGAUUACCACGGUAGGAUUCAUGACUGGGGUGAAGUCGUAACAAAGGCUGCU